GACGAACGCUGGCGGCGUGCUUAACACAUGCAAGUCGAACGGAAAGGCCCUGCUUUUGUGGGGUGCUCGAGUGGCGAACGGGUGAGUAACACGUGAGUAACCUGCCCUUGACUUUGGGAUAACUUCAGGAAACUGGGGCUAAUACCGGAUAGGAGCUCCUGCUGCAUGGUGGGGGUUGGAAAGUUUCGGCGGUUGGGGAUGGACUCGCGGCUUAUCAGCUUGUUGGUGGGGUAGUGGCUUACCAAGGCUUUGACGGGUAGCCGGCCUGAGAGGGUGACCGGCCACAUGGGGACUGAGAUACGGCCCAGACUCAUAAGGGAGGAAAGAGGGGGGAAUAUUGCACAAUGGGCGGAAGCCUGAUGAAGCACCGCCGCGUGCGGGAUGACGGCCUUCGGGUUGUAAACCGCUUUCGCCUGUGACGAAGCGUGAGUGACGGUAAUGGGUAAAGAAGCACCGGCUAACUACGU
RNAcentral lists this ribosomal RNA (467 nucleotides) under uncultured bacterium. RNAcentral describes it as "partial 16S ribosomal RNA". It matches the Rfam family "Bacterial small subunit ribosomal RNA", at positions 28 to 506 of the family's 1533-position model. The record is from RNAcentral.